This 250-nucleotide unclassified non-coding RNA is filed under the name plant metagenome. RNAcentral describes it as "partial contains small subunit ribosomal RNA, internal transcribed spacer 1, and 5.8S ribosomal RNA". The stretch from base 201 to 250 matches the Rfam family "5.8S ribosomal RNA", at positions 1 to 49 of the family's 154-position model. The record is from RNAcentral.
UCUCCGUAGGUGAACCUGCGGAGGGAUCAUUACAGAGUUCAUGCCCUACCGGGUAGAUCUCCCACCCUAUGUUAUUAUUACUUUGUUGCUUUGGCGGGCCGUUAGGCUCCGGCCCGACUACCGGCCCCGGCUGGUAAGCGCCCGCCAGAGGACCCAAAACCCUGAAUAUUAGUGUCGUCUGAGUACUAUAUAAUAGUUAAAACUUUCAACAACGGAUCUCUUGGUUCUGGCAUUCGAUGAAGAACGCAGC